This 1441-nucleotide ribosomal RNA is filed under the name Electra monostachys. RNAcentral's name for it is "SSU rRNA". It matches the Rfam family "Eukaryotic small subunit ribosomal RNA", at positions 357 to 1803 of the family's 1831-position model. Lineage: Eukaryota; Metazoa; Bryozoa; Gymnolaemata; Cheilostomatida; Electridae. The record is from RNAcentral.
GGAUAACAGAGAAUCUGGGUUCGAUUCCGGAGAGGCCGCAUGAGAAACGGCGACCACUUCCAAGGAAGGCAGCAGGCACCCAAAUUACCCACUUCGGACACCGAGAGGUAGUGACGAACAAUACCGAUGCGGUGCACUUACGUGUCGCCGUAAUCGGAAUGAGUACACUUCAAAUCCUUUAACGAGGAUCCACUGGAGGGCAAGCCUGGUGCCAGCAGCCGCGGUAAUUCCAGCUCCAGCAGCGUAUAUUUAUAUUGCUGCGUUUAAAAAGCUCGUAGUUGAAGCGUCAGACGCGGGAGGACGGACGGCCGCACUGGUCGCUUCUCGUCCGACCGAGCCAGGCGCAGAGGGCGUCCGUCGGUUGCACUUCACCGUGUGAUCGCGGCGUCGCUGCACGUUCACCUUGAAGAAAUUGAACCGCUUAGAGGGGGCGAGCAGCUUGUACAGCUCAGCAUGGUAUGAUGGAACAUGGGCUCGUACUCAUUUUGUUGGUUUUAGAGUUCGCGAGCCAAUGAUUAACAGGGACUGCCGGGGGCAUUCGUACUCGAGCGGGAGAGGUGAAAUUCAAGGAUCGCUCGAAGACGUCCCACUGCGAAAGCAUUUGCCAAGAAUGUUUUCAUUAAUCAAGAACGAAAGUCAGAGGUGCGAAGGCGAUCAGAUACCGCCGUAGUUCUGACCGUAAACGAUGUCGACUGGCGAUUGGGCGCACUUCUGCCGAAGUUGCCGCCAGCAGUAUUCGCCCGGGAAACCAAAGUGAUUGGACUCCGGGGGGAGUAUGGUUGCAAAGCUGAAACUUAAAGGAAUUGACGGAAGGGCACCACCAGGAGUGGAGCCUGCGGCUUAAUUUGACUCAACACGGGAAACCUCACCCGGCCCGAACACUGUGAUGACAGACAGGUUGAGAGCUCUUUCUCGAUUCAGUGGUUGGUGGUGCAUGGCCGUUCUUAGUUCGUGGAGCGAUCUGUCUGGUUAAUUCCGAUAACGAACGAGACUCUUGCCUGCUAAAUACGCCGGCGCCGACUCAGGUCGGCGACCGCUAGCUUCUUAGAGGGACAAGCGGCUUUUAGUCGCGUGAAGCGGAGAGCAAUAACAGGUCAGUGAUGCCCUCAGAUGUUCGGGGCCGCACGCGCGCUACACUGCUUGCAUCAGCGUGUUUCACCCUCGCCGGCCGGCGUGGGCAAUCCGUUGAACCGCAAGCGUGCUAGGGAUCGGAGAUUGCAAUUAUUCUCCGUCAACGAGGAAUUCCUUGUACUUGCGAGUCAUCAGCUCGCGGGGAAUCUGUCCCUGCCCUUUGUACACACCGCCCGUCGCUACUACCGAUUGAGUGGUUUAGUGAGGCCCACGGACUGCGCGCGGCACCCGGCGCUUCGGCGUCGCGUCGCGAGCGGAAAGUGAGACGAACUUGAUCACUUCUAGGAAGUAAAAGUCGUAACAAGGUUUU